Long non-coding RNA from Paramisgurnus dabryanus, 2234 nucleotides. RefSeq lists it as uncharacterized. Lineage: Eukaryota; Metazoa; Chordata; Actinopteri; Cypriniformes; Cobitidae. The record is from RefSeq and is a predicted model, not a curated record.
AACCAUGUCUCUUUAAGACAGCACAUACAGUAUUGUGGUACAUAAAAACUGUGUUUUCUAAAUAUGUUUAUUAUUAAUAUAAUUUAAUUAGUCUAUUUAAGAAACUAAGCAUCAUUCAAAAUAACUAAAAUUCAAUGGACACAAUUACCAUUUUAAUGUGUGAAAAUUAUGUCUCUGACUCAAGAGAAAUGCAACAAAUAUUAUUUCAGAAUAUAUAUUUCCAACACUUUGAAAACAUGUCUCCAACUGCCCUAGGUCAGAAUAUUGUGAACGUAUCUCUCAAUGCUGCAUACAUCGUUUAAAGGAAGCCGUUCAAAUGACAUCAUGUAACUCAUUUUUGCUAGCUAGGAUGUUGAUAAAUUAGUCAGUGAAAUGUAAAGCUGCUUAUUUUUGCUGAUGUCUCAUGAUUUGAAGUUCACUGUUUCUAUUGUUAUUAUAAUUCUACCCUAACAUUUCAUUAAAUCUUUUAAAAUAGAAACAAAAAUAUCAAUAGACAGGUCCAUAAUCUAAAAGACAGUCUUUCACAUGUGGAUGCAAAACAUGUUGGGUGAAACAGACUGACAAACUCGGGUAAACAUAUCUGCAGAUACCUGUCAGCUACUGUACUUCUAGUCCAGAGGUGCCCAAAGUUGGCCCACAAAAGACCUUAAAUUUUUUUAUGUUUCAUGCAUACUUGAAGGUGUAUAAAAUGCAUCACAAAACCUAAUGAACUCGGGUACUAUAGGCUAAAAAUGAAGAGGUUGCGGCAGUGGCAUACAGAGAAAAGGAUAUUUAAAAUUGAUUGGCAAAACGAUUUCUUUUUCCUACAAACAGCCUUGGAAAAUAAAACUGCAUUAGUUAUGCAUAAACAGAGUAAUGUUUGCUUAUUUAUUUUUUAAAAUAUUAGAAAAUUAUAAAUUAGGGGUUAUCAGGGCAACUUUAAUUUUAAUAUAACACAACAACAUUUACUUUUGGCCCACGGCCCUCAGUCAGGUUUGGCCCUUGUAAGGAAAAUGUUUGGGCACCAAUGAAUGUUCUAGUCUAUCUGAGGAGGUAACUUUUAGCAUAUGAUAAUGCAUGCUUGCACAAAGUCAGACCACAUAUUAUAAUGUUUGUCUUCAAUCAAUCAAUUUAAACAAAAGAGAUGGGGACUUUAUAAUAUAAUAAGGGUCCAUAUAUCACAGUGAAAAAAGACAUACAUGUAUUUUUACUUUAACAUGAACUAAUGCUGAGUUACAGCAUAUCCUAAUAAUAAACUAUUGAAGAGUCAUCAUUAACUACGACAUGUUUUUCAUUGUUAGUUAAUGCAGUCAUUUACAAUAAAUUAAUUUGAGUUCAUGUUGUAGUUAAGUAAGUUCAGUAAGUUACAUGUCUUAACUCAGCAUUAGUUUAUAUUUACUAAUAUUUAAGUAAGAAUUCAUUUAGGUAUACGUUCAAUGUUUCCAAUGAUGAGCAGUUAAUCCACUAAACCCAGAGAUAAUUCCUGAGGCAUGUUUAAAGAGUUUUGUAUUUCAUCAAGAAGGUGCUGCUGAUUCACAAAGAUUUUAUAUUUAAGAAAAUCUGAGCAUCAUUCCAAAUAACUGUUAACAUGUUUGUCAACUAAACAUGUUUUGUAAACGUAAUAAACUUUAUAAAAAUAUUUUUUAUUUUUUAUUAAUAAUCAAGUAUAAAGAACAAUGCAUAGUGUGAAAACGCGGAUUAUAAAAAGUAUAUUAAAGAAAAGGACUACAUUUCCCAGAAUGCACCUGCACCCACUCAUCUGACUGCCCCCACCCUUCAGGUGCGACUGCUCAACCUAUGGGCUUGACGGAAAAUUCAAAUCGCGAACCGUUACUGCCUGGACUACUCCGUCUCUUGUUUGUUUGUUUGCUCAUUAACAGUAAGAGGUCAUGUACACUGUGGUCAACUUUGUGGACGAUGAAGAGGUUUCUGGGUAAAGCUGAUAGAAAUAUAAUGAAGUAACAGUGAAAGCUAAAACAUCAGACUGAUCCAGACACUGAAGAAAUUGAUGUCACUGCAAUCUGGCCAAAAUGAUACAACUAUAUUGAAGUAGCCUACUGUAAUGAAGCUGCAGAACAACACAGAGACUCUGAGGACAUCAACACAGAAAAUGAAGGCUCCAAAGAGAUGUCUGUCCAGAUGAGGGUGCAUCAACGUUACCUUUGCUGACAAGUAUAUGCUUUACAAUGUAAAACCUAACAGUUAACUUAACUCAAACCAUUUAAGGAAAUCGGUUGCCUUAACCCAUUAAGUUU